This 23-nucleotide non-coding RNA is filed under the name Arabidopsis thaliana (thale cress). The record is from RNAcentral. Lineage: Eukaryota; Viridiplantae; Streptophyta; Magnoliopsida; Brassicales; Brassicaceae.
GCGAACCGGGAAGAGCCCAGCUU